UCGUUCUCGAUCUCGAUCUCAAAACCCUGUCACCUUCCUUCUCUCGGAACCCAGUAGCUUUCUAGCCUAAAUGUUAGCUAUUGUCGCUCGAUCCCUCUUUGUUUGCUAGCUCGACCCUGAGGCUGUUCCCCUUUCCCAUUGGUGUGCGACACGACGAUCCAAUUGUUGAUUUGUGGCUCUGAGACUGGUUCACUCCAAGACGAGCCUAAUCUGUCCAACCUACCACACAACGAGUCGAUCUCUGGUUCAAUCCGUCCAUAGGAUUCAAUUGAUUUGAUCAUCAUUGAAGAAAAUCACUUGAAGAGUUUAAUUUGGAUUUUCGAAAAAUCUUGGAUUGCUAUAUCUUGGAGCUUAUAAGACUUUCCAGUAAAAUCAAGAAUGGAUAGCUUUUUGCUCGACUUGCAUCAACCUUCUUAGAGUUUCAAGAAAAAAUUAGUUUUUAUUUUUUCUUUAUAUAUUGUAAUAGGUUGUUUGGUUUCUUUUAUCUCUCAGAGAUUAUAUUUUUGUUGAAAAUCCACUAUCGUUAAAAUAUUAUCAUAGUUUGUAGUUAAUUGAACUUCAACUUUUUUUCUUUUUAAUUUAAUGAAAUGAUGAAAUUUUCUCGUAGAAAGAUGUAUUAUUUAUUUUUUACAUAAAAAAUUAAUACUCUUGAGAAGGUCCCGACAAACUUUUUUGCCUAAAACCCUCAAGUUGGUUGAGCCAACUCUAAAGUAAGCAUGCAUUCUGUUGUAGUAGAUAUAGAUUAUGCUUAUUUCAUUUGAUUAGAAAUAAUGUUUCACCAGUAGAUUUCAUGAAAUAAGGUGUGGAAAUCAUUAUCCACUUAAGAGAUAUUAUCAUAGCAUGCAAAGACAUUUGGACAAAAAAAAAAUAUAUUAUAAGAUAAUUGGCUUUGUAAAAGAAAUAAGAUAAUGAUACUUAAAUUUACAUAAUGUAGGUAAAUUUGUUGUACAUAUUUUAAAUGAAUUAAUUAUAAAAUUAUUAAGUAUAAAAUAAGAUUGAUAAUUAUUUUGCUUUUCUAUGUUGCUUCGAAAGGAUCACCAUCAUCUUUGUGAAAAGAAACAAUUAAAAUUUCAAGUUACUCAACGAAAUUAUGUGGAAGAAAUGGGUUUUGGCUCUUUAUUAAGAUUAAGUUGUAAUAGGUUUUGUAGGAUAUAUCUUACAUUUUGACUAAAAAAUUUGACCCAAAACAUUAUCAUCAUUUGAAAGUGAAUGUGUUUCUCUCUGACUUGUGAUGUUAUAGGAAGUAUUUUGUGCAUUUCUAGUAUUGACAAAGAGUUUUCAAGUAAUGGACAAAACAUUGUAGGGUAAGAAAGGUCUCUAGGUUGAUCAUGGUGGUUAUGUUUGUGCAUAAUGAAUCUAGAGAAAGAUCAACAAUUAAAUUUUACAAACAGUGAUAACAGUUUUUAAUCAAUAUUCCAAGCUCUAACUUGUUCCUCACACUCUUGAGUAAUGUAUGAAACUAGAAAAGCAAAAAAAAGAAAAUAAAUCAAGUAGGAAACGGAAUUAAACAUAAUAAAAUUCCUAAUUCUAUGCAAAGUAAAUCCCUAAACAGUAUCUUAAAAUUACUCUAUUUCCUGUGUUCUUCAUCACUUCGUCUUCGUGGUUUAUGCUUAGCAUAUAAAGAUAUAAAACAUCUAUUCUCUAUUUGAUUGUUCAUUAUUUUUCUUUCCUUUGUUUUGUUUUGCUGAACUAAAUGGAGUCUCGUUGUGGGUAAAUGAUUGUUCAUUAUUUUGUGGUUAGAACCUUUACCUUUUCAAUUGUUUCCAUUCUUAAAAUAGCAAACUGAAUCUGGAUAUAUAUUAUCUUUAAAGAGCAGAUUACUGUAGUUUUUCCUACUUGUUUUACGAUUGUUUGUUUCUUGCUAUAAUAGUUGCUUUAUUUAGAAAACAAUGAGACCUCGCAGAUAUCAGAUUCAGUAACACUUAUAAACAGAGGAAAAAAUGUGUGAUGUUGGACCCGAACCCCUUAUGAGUUGGAUCUUUGGAGAGUUGCCUUGUGCUUCAGAUGUAUCAUUAUAUUUCAAAAAGGGGUCUUCAGAUGUAUCAUUUUUAGGUAGUGAAUGGUGGAGUGAGAUUCUGGUUAGAUGGUGCAGUCCAAGAACCCUUCCCCUGAUCUUUCUGAAUUGGCUAGGGCUGUGGAAGUUAACACGGGUUCAUGUUUCUUGAUAUUAUUUGGAGGCAUUCUACCGUGUGCUUUGUGACCAAGGGAAUCUCUUUUCUUGGAUUUCUCAAGUUGAAAACAUUUGAUGCUGCUGAUGCAUCAUUUUCAGCAGCCAAUGCUGCAACUGGUUUGGGAAUAUUUCUAAAAGGAAGACAGUUGAAGUUUUCAGGGCUUUGGACAAGAAAUCAACUCAGGAUAAGGAACAAGAGAAGGCAAAAAAGGAUGAGCAUGACCAUUUCCCUAAGUUGUUACUUUCUUCCCUUGAUGGACAAAAUGUUGUUAUAUUGUCAUUUUGCAAUUUGAGUGGCCUAUAUGCUAUCUACUUUCUGUACUAUAUAUCUCAACUUUUUCUAUAAAAAAAAAAGAAAAAAAAAAAGACAGGAUGGUCUUAUAGUUGAGGGCGGGCACUCUCCAGCUGCUGAAGGAGUUUUGGCCAGUGAUACGUCAAAGCGCCAAUUGUAAGUACUAAAAGUGGUUUAAUUUUGUUUUUCUUGAUAAAAAUGGAAAAUACUUCAUUAAACCUAUUCCCUCAUAUGGGAGGAAGAGAGGGUUCUGUUUGUUGAAUUAACAGUAUCACAUGUCAUACCUUAUAGACCAAUAUUUUUCGUUGUGAUAAGAGAUAUACCAAAGAGAGCAUUUGAAUUUUUGGGUGAGAGGGUAAAAUUACCCUUUUCCGCAUGCAUGGAAAUCUGUGUAAAUCCUCCCCGUGGGUUUUUGCCGCCUCUGCUUAUCCUUUUUCAUUUCUAGUUUCUUUAUUUCUAGACAUCUAAACAUGUCUGUUUCUUUCUGUUCUGAACAUAGAAGUCCAUUUUAUGGUGAAUUGAAUAAGUGUGUGAAGGAUGCAAGGAAAAAUGCUUCUUCAUGUCCAUCUCGUACUUUCUGUUCCUCUUCCUUCUAAGAUUUCAGACAAGCAAUAUUUAAUACAGCUAUCUUUAGCAAUCUAUGCCGAGCUAUCUUGAAGCAAUCACUCAGAUGUCUUGACUUGCAUCAGCUCAUUAAGAAUCCUGUCUUGUCUUGAUGAUGGUUUAAUGAUGUCAGAUGUCUUGACUUGUAUCAGCUCAUUAAGAAUCCUUGUCUUGAUGAUGGUUUAAUGAUGUCAAUACAUUUACUGCAAUAAAUGUAUUUAAAAUUAUUUUCUUAGGGUUACCAUAUAGGGAUGGUAGACAAACAUAUGUCAAUAAUUCAAUGCUAUCAUUUAGAAUUAUUUUCUUAGGGUUACCAUAUAGGAUGGUAGACAAAUGCAAUAACAGAAGAAUCUCGAGAAUACUGCAAAUACUAACAUAGAAAUAUGGAAAAACAUAUGUUUGGUCCUGGCUGUUUCUUAACAUCAUUAACUAUGAUGCUGCUCCAUAGUUUGCUGUUGGUGCACCGCUCUUGUGCACACUCCGUGGAAGAGCCUAAUGCGUAAGAAUUCUGCACACUAAAGAAGCUUUUGUUUAGAGGCAGUUACAAGCCAAGCUACCAAGCAAAAACCCAUGAUUAGACUGUUAUUGAAGAAUACAAAGAAAGGGAAAGUUAUUGCGAAGAAUCACUCACGUGGAGUUGCAUUUGUGGAAUUUACCGAGCAUCAACAUUCACUUGUUGCGUUGAGAGUUCUUAACAACAAUCCUGAAACUUUUGGUCCUCAACAUCGUCCCGAUAGUUUGCUCUUGAUAAUGUCCAAACACUGAAGCUCCGUUAAGAGUAGGCUCCAAGCUCAGCAAAAGGGUUCGCGGGAUCAUGUAGAAGAUUUGGAGCAAAAUACUGAUUCUCACAUGAACCCGAUUCUCAUCCACAGAAGAACUCUAGGAAACGUAAAUCUAAAGAUAAGGAUGAUAGAUCAUUGAAUGCUUUUAAAAUUGAAAGAGAAGACGCAGUGGAAAAGCCAAAAUUGGAAGGAGCUGUUUCCGGUUCCUCUGGUAAUUCCGCAAGAGGAACCGGAAACAUGUUUUCAUCAGAGGCAAAGCAGCAAAGCGCUCUAGAAAUAAGAAAUAAGGUAAGGAAUGCUCCCAAAAUCCGAUCACCAGAGGAAGUAGAUCUGUAAAAUAAGAAGAGGAAGCUCCCAGAUCAGGCUGAGAAACGGAAGGAAGGUAUUGGUUCAUCGAAAAGAAAGAAGACGAAGAACAAGGGUCGAGAUGUGGUGGACAAACUUGACAAGCUCAUUGAACAAUAAAAAUCCAAGUUUUCGCAGCAUAAUUCUGACAAAAUCGACAGUGAAAAGCAAAGGUUCCAGACAGCUUAGAAGAUGGUUUGAGUCAUAAUCCCAUCCCAUAGUAACUUUUUGUGGCUCUGCUGUUGAUUCCUCAUGGAGAGGAGUUGAUGCAAGUAACCAGAUUUUGUGAAUUUGAAAUUUUGGGUUACUCUUGAAUUAAGAAUAUCUAUAUUGUGUUGUGCUGUUUG
Molecule: RNA transcript, 4539 nt
Organism: Diospyros lotus (date-plum)
Lineage: Eukaryota; Viridiplantae; Streptophyta; Magnoliopsida; Ericales; Ebenaceae
Exons: 5
Source: RefSeq, a predicted model, not a curated record